GGUUAAGCGACUAAGCGUACACGGUGGAUGCCCUGGCAGUCAGAGGCGAUGAAGGACGUGCUAAUCUGCGAAAAGCGUCGGUAAGGUGAUAUGAACCGUUAUAACCGGCGAUGUCCGAAUGGGGAAACCCAGUGCAAUUCGUUGCACUAUCGUUAACUGAAUACAUAGGUUAACGAGGCGAACCGGGGGAACUGAAACAUCUAAGUACCCCGAGGAAAAGAAAUCAACCGAGAUUCCCCCAGUAGCGGCGAGCGAACGGGGAGCAGCCCAGAGUCUGAAUCAGCUUGUGUGUUAGUGGAACGGUCUGGAAAGUCCGACGGUACAGGGUGAUAGUCCCGUACACCAAAAUGCACAGGCUGUGAACUCGAAGAGUAGGGCGGGACACGUGGUAUCCUGUCUGAAUAUGGGGGGACCAUCCUCCAAGGCUAAAUACUCCUGACUGACCGAUAGUGAACCAGUACCGUGAGGGAAAGGCGAAAAGAACCCCGGCGAGGGGAGUGAAAAAGAACCUGAAACCGUGUACGUACAAGCAGUGGGAGCACCUUCGGGUGUGACUGCGUACCUUUUGUAUAAUGGGUCAGCGACUUAUAUUCUGUAGCAAGGUUAACCGUAUAGGGGAGCCGCAGGGAAACCGAGUCUUAACUGGGCGUUAAGUUGCAGGGUAUAGACCCGAAACCCGGUGAUCUAGCCAUGGGCAGGUUGAAGGUUGGGUAACACUAACUGGAGGACCGAACCGACUAAUGUUGAAAAAUUAGCGGAUGACUUGUGGCUGGGGGUGAAAGGCCAAUCAAACCGGGAGAUAGCUGGUUCUCCCCGAAAGCUAUUUAGGUAGCGCCUCGUGAACUCAUCUUCGGGGGUAGAGCACUGUUUCGGCUAGGGGGUCAUCCCGACUUACCAACCCGAUGCAAACUACGAAUACCGAAGAAUGUUAUCACGGGAGACACACGGCGGGUGCUAACGUCCGUCGUGAAGAGGGAAACAACCCAGACCGCCAGCUAAGGUCCCAAAGUCAUGGUUAAGUGGGAAACGAUGUGGGAAGGCACAGACAGCCAGGAUGUUGGCUUAGAAGCAGCCAUCAUUUAAAGAAAGCGUAAUAGCUCACUGGUCGAGUCGGCCUGCGCGGAAGAUGUAACGGGGCUAAACCAUGCACCGAAGCUGCGGCAGCGACACUAUGUGUUGUUGGGUAGGGGAGCGUUCUGUAAGCCUGCGAAGGUGACCUGUGAGGGUUGCUGGAGGUAUCAGAAGUGCGAAUGCUGACAUAAGUAACGAUAAAGCGGGUGAAAAGCCCGCUCGCCGGAAGACCAAGGGUUCCUGUCCAACGUUAAUCGGGGCAGGGUGAGUCGACCCCUAAGGCGAGGCCGAAAGGCGUAGUCGAUGGGAAACAGGUUAAUAUUCCUGUACUUGGUGUUACUGCGAAGGGGGGACGGAGAAGGCUAUGUUAGCCGGGCGACGGUUGUCCCGGUUUAAGCAUGUAGGCUGGUUAUCCAGGCAAAUCCGGAUAAUCAAGGCUGAGGUGUGAUGACGAGGCACUACGGUGCUGAAGUAACAAAUGCCCUGCUUCCAGGAAAAGCCUCUAAGCAUCAGGUAACAUUGAAUCGUACCCCAAACCGACACAGGUGGUCAGGUAGAGAAUACCAAGGCGCUUGAGAGAACUCGGGUGAAGGAACUAGGCAAAAUGGUGCCGUAACUUCGGGAGAAGGCACGCUGGUGUGUAGGUGAAGUCCCUGCGGAUGGAGCUGAGACCAGUCGAAGAUACCAGCUGGCUGCAACUGUUUAUUAAAAACACAGCACUGUGCAAACACGAAAGUGGACGUAUACGGUGUGACGCCUGCCCGGUGCCGGAAGGUUAAUUGAUGGGGUUAUCCGUAAGGAGAAGCUCUUGAUCGAAGCCCCGGUAAACGGCGGCCGUAACUAUAACGGUCCUAAGGUAGCGAAAUUCCUUGUCGGGUAAGUUCCGACCUGCACGAAUGGCGUAAUGAUGGCCAGGCUGUCUCCACCCGAGACUCAGUGAAAUUGAACUCGCUGUGAAGAUGCAGUGUACCCGCGGCAAGACGGAAAGACCCCGUGAACCUUUACUAUAGCUUGACACUGAACAUUGAGCCUUGAUGUGUAGGAUAGGUGGGAGGCUUUGAAGCGUGGACGCCAGUCUGCGUGGAGCCAACCUUGAAAUACCACCCUUUAAUGUUUGAUGUUCUAACGUUGGCCCCUGACCGGGGUUGCGGACAGUGUCUGGUGGGUAGUUUGACUGGGGCGGUCUCCUCCCAAAGCGUAACGGAGGAGCACGAAGGUUAGCUAAUCCUGGUCGGACAUCAGGAGGUUAGUGCAAUGGCAUAAGCUAGCUUGACUGCGAGCGUGACGGCGCGAGCAGGUGCGAAAGCAGGUCAUAGUGAUCCGGUGGUUCUGAAUGGAAGGGCCAUCGCUCAACGGAUAAAAGGUACUCCGGGGAUAACAGGCUGAUACCGCCCAAGAGUUCAUAUCGACGGCGGUGUUUGGCACCUCGAUGUCGGCUCAUCACAUCCUGGGGCUGAAGUAGGUCCCAAGGGUAUGGCUGUUCGCCAUUUAAAGUGGUACGCGAGCUGGGUUUAGAACGUCGUGAGACAGUUCGGUCCCUAUCUGCCGUGGGCGCUGGAGAAUUGAGGGGGGCUGCUCCUAGUACGAGAGGACCGGAGUGGACGCAUCACUGGUGUUCGGGUUGUCAUGCCAAUGGCACUGCCCGGUAGCUAAAUGCGGAAGAGAUAAGUGCUGAAAGCAUCUAAGCACGAAACUUGCCCCGAGAUGAGUUCUCCCUGAGACUUUAAGUCUCCUGAAGGAACGUUAAAGACGAUGACGUUGAUAGGCCGGGUGUGUAAGCGCAGCGAUGCGUUGAGCUAACCGGUACUAAUGAACCGUGAGGCUUAACCUU
RNAcentral lists this ribosomal RNA (2902 nucleotides) under Klebsiella pneumoniae. Its description in RNAcentral is "23S ribosomal RNA". It matches the Rfam family "Bacterial large subunit ribosomal RNA". RNAcentral also lists the same sequence under 1 other name. Lineage: Bacteria; Pseudomonadati; Pseudomonadota; Gammaproteobacteria; Enterobacterales; Enterobacteriaceae. The record is from RNAcentral.